This 852-nucleotide ribosomal RNA is filed under the name Epicoccum endophyticum (nom. illeg.). RNAcentral's name for it is "Epicoccum endophyticum partial large subunit ribosomal RNA". It matches the Rfam family "Eukaryotic large subunit ribosomal RNA", at positions 68 to 939 of the family's 3401-position model. Lineage: Eukaryota; Fungi; Ascomycota; Dothideomycetes; Pleosporales; Didymellaceae. The record is from RNAcentral.
ACAGGGAUUGCCCUAGUAACGGCGAGUGAAGCGGCAACAGCUCAAAUUUGAAAUCUGGCGUCUUUGGCGUCCGAGUUGUAAUUUGCAGAGGGCGCUUUGGCAUUGGCAGCGGUCCAAGUUCCUUGGAACAGGACGUCACAGAGGGUGAGAAUCCCGUACGUGGUCGCUAGCCUUUACCGUGUAAAGCCCCUUCGACGAGUCGAGUUGUUUGGGAAUGCAGCUCUAAAUGGGAGGUAAAUUUCUUCUAAAGCUAAAUACUGGCCAGAGACCGAUAGCGCACAAGUAGAGUGAUCGAAAGAUGAAAAGCACUUUGGAAAGAGAGUUAAAAAGCACGUGAAAUUGUUGAAAGGGAAGCGCUUGCAGCCAGACUUGCCUGUAGUUGCUCAUCCGGGUUUCUACCCGGUGCACUCUUCUACGGGCAGGCCAGCAUCAGUUUGGGCGGUUGGAUAAAGGUCUCUGUCAUGUACCUCCUUUCGGGGAGAUCUUAUAGGGGAGACGACAUGCAACCAGCCUGGACUGAGGUCCGCGCAUCUGCUAGGAUGCUGGCGUAAUGGCUGUAAGCGGCCCGUCUUGAAACACGGACCAAGGAGUCUAACAUCUAUGCGAGUGUUUGGGUGUCAAGCCCGAGCGCGUAAUGAAAGUGAACGGAGGUGGGAACCUUUCGGGGUGCACCAUCGACCGAUCCUGAUGUCUUCGGAUGGAUUUGAGUAAGAGCAUAGCUGUUGGGACCCGAAAGAUGGUGAACUAUGCUUGAAUAGGGUGAAGCCAGAGGAAACUCUGGUGGAGGCUCGCAGCGGUUCUGACGUGCAAAUCGAUCGUCAAAUUUGGGCAUAGGGGCGAAAGACUAUCGAA